RNAcentral lists this long non-coding RNA (1332 nucleotides) under Nicotiana benthamiana. RNAcentral describes it as "long non-coding RNA (NBEN_LNC042338)". The record is from RNAcentral. Lineage: Eukaryota; Viridiplantae; Streptophyta; Magnoliopsida; Solanales; Solanaceae.
CAAGAUAUGAAUGUGUCGUAUGGAGUAUAACAAUUAGUUAGAAAAAAGAGUACCUAAACAAAUUUAAUUUGAGCUCUAAAUGACCACCUGUUUGUUUUUCUUAUACCAAAAGUUCAAUCUGUAACCUCAUCAAUCUAAUCACAACUUUGAGAUUAAUAAUAUAGAGCAUACAUGUGUUGAUACAUCUAAUUUUUUGUUAUGAUCCAGCAAAUUCAGUUCCAAGGAAGCAUUUCAAUUCUCUUAGAUCUUUUAUCCUGAAAUUUUGGUGCAGCACCUCUUAGCUUCUUCAACCAUCUUGUCAUGUUCACGUUAUCGGUAAGUUAUUAACAUAUAUAAGGACGACAAGUUCACAACCAUGUUAUUGACAUGCCUUUUAGAGAACAAAGAACAGUGUAAAAAGUACAUUAUUUUUAUGACAGCAUUUCCAUAACUAAGAUGACAAUUUAAGUAAUUAACUCCUCCAUCCAUGAUCCAUGUAAGAAAAUAAUUCAAAGAGUAUAACAAUGUUUAUCCAUUAAAGUAACAGAGGAUUAAUUAAACUUUGGCACAUUUAAAUUGAAUAAAAGAUAAAUAUUUAUAUUAAAUUCACAUUCUUUUGUAAUCUGUUAAAAUUACCAGCCACAAUAUGCCACAAAACAGUAAAAUGAAAAAUUCCAAUCUCCGCUCGGAAAAAUUAAGAAGACAAGCUGCUCAUAGGUUUCAAUUAUACGUCCAAAUAGUUAAAUCGAAGCUUAUUCCAUCAUUAAGUGAUUUACACAGGUGGCUGUAGUUUGGUUUGUCACCAGAAAACAAUAGCAGCCAUGAAAAUUAAUUCAUAAAAAAUGAAAACCGUUAAGAGAUCUUAAAAAAAAUAAAGGAAAGAAACAAGAUAGGAAAAAAGAAGAAGAUUUGAGAAAAUUUAAGAGAACCAUACCUUGAAUCGUAACAGACAGAUGAGAAAAUACAGGAGCAUCGAGUAUUUCUUAAUGUCUGAAAAAGAAGAACCAAAAGGAUACGCCCAAGUUCGAUUGGAACGGAAGGAGUUCUGAAGACGCGCAUUGUUAAAAGCACUUUUAUGGCAAAGUAUAAUGACAAUUCUACCCUUGGUCUAGAAACAAACUCAGGUGAACUCUUUGAGUUCUCCUUCUUCAAAAUUUGAAGAAAACCAUUUCGGAUAUGAUUCUCUCACUGCUUUUGCUCCAAUCUUUUUCUUUUUUUCUCUGUCUUCUCUUCUUCUUUUUCUGUUUUGAGAUCUCUUAACAAUUUCCUAUUUUAUGAGUGAAUUUUCUUUACUGUAAUUAUUCUACUGCGACAUAAUAUUCUUUAUUUUUGCAACCAGAAAUUGGUACUUUC